GUUCACCUCUGAGGUACAGCGGUAGCAGGACGAGCUGCAGACAAAACUCCUUAGACACGAGUUAAAGAAGGAAGGGGUUUAUUCGGCCAGAGGCAUUGGCAGGACGCCCGUCUCAAGAGCCGAGUUCCCCGUUGAGGAAAUGGGUCAAGACAUUUGCCCAAGUGUACCCAGCACAGACAGGAAACGCUGAGUGUGAACCAGCCUGUGACUUCGGGACCCUCAUGCGGCCCCGGCUGUCCCACCGGAGACUCCCGGAAGCUGAGGUGGUGAGCCGGGACGGGGGGACACCUUCGAGAUAAGCUGGAACCGCAGUUCUUUCCUCAGAAUUCAGGGGAUCUGUGGACUUGGAUCAGUUUCAUCUGGCGUUGUGUCGAGUCUCUAACCAAAAUUUAGCCUUUCCUUUAACCAUGACCGUGGGCACCUCCCGGGGCGUCAGCCGUGCCUGUGCCGUUGACACCGACAGAACUGCCCCAGGGCCACUUCUGUGGGCCCCAAGCAGCCAUGCCUUGGGAGGGUUCGGGCACCACGAAACACCCCCCUCCCCUUCCACUCACCGCCACGUCUCAGAAUGCAGUUCCCACACCUCACCACUUUAAAUCACGGCUGAAUGAAAAGCACAGCGCUCACUACACCAGAAUGUUCUAAGAGGGUGGUAACUGUAUUUUGGUAAAAUGGGUUUCCUUCAUAA
Molecule: non-coding RNA, 688 nt
Organism: Macaca mulatta (Rhesus monkey)
Lineage: Eukaryota; Metazoa; Chordata; Mammalia; Primates; Cercopithecidae
Source: RefSeq, a predicted model, not a curated record